UUCUAUACACUGAUGAUUCCUCUGUCUGUAUCUGUAUCUCGAUCUCUCUCCUAAGCUCGCGACCCAGAUUUGCAACCCCACUUGGGCAUGACCCAGGCACCUUAAACUUGCACGCUUAUCAACUGAACCCACUGUCAUCCUUCAUAAAAUCCGUUCUUCUCAUUUCCCCUAUCUCAAUAAAUGGCACCCAUUUGUCACCACGGCUCUGAAAGCAGAUUUAUCAGGACACAAAAGGAACCCAGGGCUGGGGCAGAGGAUUUCUGUGGUUCUGAGCCUCGGUGCAGAAUUGACAUCAUGGCUCUCCAGGGUCCGUGCCUCACUUUUACAAGCAGAAAAGAGGACAGUCGCCUGCUAGAAGCUGUGGCCUUGCAGGACACUUCUUGGCCAGUGCUUCCCUCCGCCCCCUAUCUCAGCUUCUCCAGGACUCUGCCAGCAGGAGAGGACUGAGGACUGUGCCUCAGCAGGACCAGUGCUUCCGCCUAUCUGCUGCCAGGAUCACAUUAGGGCUUCCUGUGUCUGCGGCUCACGUCUUGGCUCGGGGACAUACCUGCGAUGAUACUGAACAAGUUGAGGCCAUCGCCUGGGGACUAACUCACUGCUAAAUGACGUCAAUAAACCCCUUUGAGGUUGCUGCA
Molecule: long non-coding RNA, 635 nt
Filed under: Felis catus (domestic cat)
Lineage: Eukaryota; Metazoa; Chordata; Mammalia; Carnivora; Felidae
Description: lncRNA (ENSFCAG00000040712.2)
Source: RNAcentral